CCAAGGCCUGUUAGGAACACAGACUCUCUGAAUCGGAAUCUACAGCUUCAUCAGAGCCCCAGAAAUAAAAUGAAUCUCCUACUACAUUGACCUAAUCAACACACGUCUCCCGUUCCCUGUCAAGACACCAUGGAGGUGGAUGUUGUGUGAAGGUAGGAGCAGAGGUUUGAAUUUGGGAAGACUGGGUCUACAUCCUGGCUACUGGGCUCUGUGACUUCACAUACACCCUCAAGCUUUCUGACACAACAUUCUUUAUCUCUUUGAAAUACU
Molecule: long non-coding RNA, 270 nt
Filed under: Homo sapiens (human)
Lineage: Eukaryota; Metazoa; Chordata; Mammalia; Primates; Hominidae
Description: HSALNT0240400
Source: RNAcentral